CAAGCAGUUCUCCUGCCUCACCCUCCCAAGUAGCUGGGAUUACAGGCACGCGCCACCAUGCCCAGCUAAUUUUUGUAUUUUUAGUAGUGACGGGGUUUCACCUCGUUGACCAGGAUGGUCUCGAUCUCUUGACCUCCUGAUCCACCUGCCUCGGCUUCCCAAAGUGCUGGGAUUAUAGGCGUGAGCCACGACGCCAGGCCUGAAACUUUCAAAUAGUUGCCAUUGUAUUAUUUUAAUUUGAGAGUAACAUAUGUGUACUCUGUAAGUGUAUACAUACACACACAAAUAUAAUUCAAAAGUGACAUAAUCAUACGUGCAAGGUUAAAUGCAAAUGUUCCUCAGGCAGGGCCAGGUCCCAGCACCAGGAGGAAGCUCUGAAAACGCUGCAGCCAAAAACCUGCCUCUCUCCGCUCAUUCAGCGCACGUUCUGGUUACAUCGCCUGUCACUCAGGGCCUGAAGGGGUGGAGCCUGGUGCCCCAGCUAAUCCGUGAUGGCAGCAUGAAAACUGUUCAAUCAGGUUCACAGACAGAGAGGAAGGGGCGGCCUUGCAAUCUGGAAGGGUGUGGUCCCCUGGGUUCAGUUCUUGUGUCCAUUGUUCGUUCUUCUCUGCUCCAGAACUCCUAAGUGAGGCUACCACGGACCCUGUUAUCCUGUGACCUUGUAGGUACUGGGAGAUCCCUAGGGAGGACCCUGGAACCUUCAGAGGCUGGAAAACGGGUGAUGUGUCCUCAGCCACUCUUCUGUAUUUUCCUGGUUCUGGGUGUUACAACUGUCUGGGGGUGACCCAAGAUGCUCACAGUGGCCCUGUCUUUUGGAGUGUCUGCUCUGGAUAAGGAACAUCUCAUGGCGCUGUUGGAGAGAGCAAACUAUCCAGUUCAGGGAGGAGAUGCCUGAUUGAGGUCAGGACAUGAUGAGAGGUGUGUAGACUUGGCCGCUGGCCAGAUUGGAUCCAGAUUCCCACUGAAAAAUUAUUGUGUGAACAUAUUACAAGCAGGUGAUGUGACACAGGGCAGCUGACCUGUGAACAACACAGGUGUGCACUGUGUGGGUCACUCACACAGGGAUUUCUCCCACCUCCGCCACCCUGUUACCGAGGGACCAAGUCUGCUCCAUCUUCCCCCGCAGCCACUCCACAGAGCACCUUCGUGAGGACCCACUGCCGCCUCGUGAACUGUGAAUCUGCUUUCUUUUCUGGGUUUUUCUGAGCAGGAGUUUCCUUUCUUCAGCUGAGUGUGUGGAAGGAACACAGUGGAUGGCACACGUGGCUUGCAUCAUAUGUCCUGACGGUGCGUGGACUUGGCAAGGCUUCUGGUCAACAGGAAGCUGUUAGUAGUUUCGUUUUCGGGGAGUCAAAAGUUACACUCAAGUUUCUGAUUUUGAAGGGGAUUGGUACCCCUAACUCCAUGUUGUUCAAGACUCAAUUGCACUUUCUUUAAAAAUAUAUACAUUUUUUGGUAGGGACGGGGGUCUCACUAUGGUGCCCAGGCUGGUGGUCUUGAACCUCUGGGCUCCAGUGAUCCUCCACCUUCGGCUCCCCAAGAGCUAGGAUUACAGGUAUGAUAUUCGGCAACACCCUGGGAAUUUGCUGUGGCAACCCAGGGUACCUUAGCACACAGUUUCGGAACUGCAGCUGUAAAGAGAGCAGCCAGGGCUGGGCCUGAGACUUGCAAGUCAGCAGAACAGAGACAAGGAAAAUGGCCCGGCCACUCAUUUCCCGGAGCUGCUGUGGGCUCCCUGGGACCUGUCUGCCUCCCGUUGUCUGUCUAUGUCUGUCCUGUCUUUCUGUUUGUCUCCGUGUGUCUUCUGUGACAGCUGCUGAACCCCGCUGCACAGCUGUGAGCUGUUCUUCCUGUCUGCAGCCCUUCUCUAUGUAAGGUCGGUUGCCUUGGUGGGAGCUUGGACAUGCCCAUCCCUCUCCACGCCUGAAAACUACAUCACCAGAAUCUGCACUCAACACAUUCCCACUUCUGCACUCUCCACCAGAAUCUGCACUCAACACUAAACUCUGUACUCGGCACCUAACCCGACAUUGGAAAACCCUACCAAAAUUUGAAAGAAGCCCUGCCAAAACCUGCCCAAUAGCACAGCCUGCUCACCGGAAAUCUCACCUACCUUCCAAUAGCAGCUAGCCCCGUCCAUGUCCUCUCUCUCCACAGCCAAUCAAACGCCUUCUCUCUCUAUGAAACCCCCACACGACUUCUCUGGUCCCUUCCUUGGGACCACAGAACCUCGCCUGGGAGUUAAAUAAAUUGGCAUUUAAUUGUUCUUAUACUGGCCUCAGUUUCCUCAUUUUAAACUCAGCAAUAACUCUUAAUACGCUACACUCCCAUUUCUGUUCCUCCACCCUGUCUCCACCUUUGUUGGCCUUGUUCAGCUUGGGCACUGUGGGAAUUACACGUUAACCGCCACGAGAGCCCCCAUGGACAUUCCUGAUGCGGGUAUGUCCUGGUGGAUCUUGGCAGGCGUGGCUGUGAGCUCAGGGCUGUCUGUCUUCCUGCGGGUCACCUGCCCCCUGCGGGAGGCUGUGUGUGGGGUCUGUGUAUCUGUGGCUCUGGGUCCCUGCUGUGCAUUUAUCUGGACAGGGCUCCCCGUGGCCGCUGUCUAGCCUGCAGAGGUUGUUGCUCUGCCCCCAUGCUGUGCAUACCAGUUGCGGGGGGGCUUCCGGGUUUCCCCCUCACAGCGGCACACCCCUGCACUGCUUGUCUCCUUGAGUGCCUCCCAGCAGCCCAAUCUAAUUACCUGUCUGCUUCUUACCAUUGGCUGUAUCUGUCUUUCUGAGCCUGCCAUUAUAUUUAUACUUUCAAAACCUCUUCUUUCCAGCCCAGAUCUCUUAUCAAAUUUCCACUUUCCUUCAGUUCUCCAGAAGGUUCUUUUUUGUUUGUUUCUUUGAAACAGGGUCUCACUCUAUCACCUAGGCUGGAGUGCAGUGGUGCAAUCAUAGCUCACUGCAGUUUUUAACCCCUGGGCUCAAACGAUCUUCCCGCCUUGGCCUCCCAAAGUGUGGGGUUGCAGAGGUGAGCUCCUGUUCCCGGCCUCCAAAAGGUCCUUAUGGUAAAAGUGGGUUGUCGGAUAAGAUGAUUUCUUGAAGGCUCCUGGAGCCGAGCGGCGACAGUGGCUACCAUGCCCACUUUACCCAGUGCUGCACCAAGCACCCUCUGGUCAGAGGGGAGGGAAUUUCACCAUUUUCCAGGAGUGGAAAGGCUGAAUGAGGCUGAGUGAGGAGGUACAGCUGCCUGGGCCUCCUGGAGGCAGCACAGCAGGGCUGGGCUCUCUCUGAGGCUCACCAUGUGUAGAGUAUGUGUUUCUCUCCAAGAUUGGAAGACUGACUGCAAGACCCCCAACUCAGAAGGCCAUCCCUUCCUUGCUCCAGGGCAGAAGAUCAUGUCAGGAUGGGCAACGUGCUUGGGAGUCCUUUUGGGCAAUGAGAGGGUGGAUGGAUGUGAGCCGGUCUUCAUGAACUGGUCUCUGAGCUGCCCUGUGGGAUGAGGCCCAUCAGCCAGGCUCCCUGGAGUGCAUAUGUAGGGGCUUGGGGCACCUCUUUGAGAAAAAAAUUCAGUCCGUUUCAAGACAUCACUCUCUUCCCAGGUGUCACCCCUUCAAUACCCCCCUGAGGUUCCAUUUUGACCCUUCACCAGAUACCACCUGAUGAAAGCAACUACAGCCUUAGGUCAGCCCCUCCUUGGACAGAAAGACUGGGCUCAAGGCAAGUGGAAGGGGCGAUGGGCCCUCAGGCCAGACCCUGGUCUCCGGGGUCCCAGCCUCCCUGGACCCUUCUGCAAACUCACACUGCUUUUCUUCCAGGAAUGUCUUUUGACUCAGAGCCCUUCACACGCUGCGCCAUGGAUGCCACCUUUGAGAAAAGUGACCCAUGAUGGUUGCGUGAUCAUCCCUUACCAAAUCAAGCCGUGUGUGUUUUCAUGGCAGCUCCUGGAAUCCAUGGAAGUCAACUCUGGGAUCCAGCAAGCAUGUCUUUCUCAGUUGACACCCCCAGCCAUCCAUCUCUCUUAGGGCAUGAUGUAGGAGACACGUAGCAAUCUCGUUCUCAUUGCAAGUUGACUUCUGUCCUUGCAGGUGGCCUGGUGAUGUGUGCAGAAUUGUGGACCUUCCCAUGGGGAAGAGACAAUGGAAUCUGGAAAUCAUGGAAGUAGGGCCAUCGGCCUCUUUCUUUAGCCAUGGGGUAAAUCCUGACUGAUCCCAUGAAAUGUCCGUGAAGUGCUGGAAUUGCCCAAACACAGAAUCAUAGGACAGAGAAACUGGGUCAGUAGAACUCAAAAAAAUCGUGAGAUCUUGGAAUCUUAUGAUUCUUCAAGCACAGAUCCAUAGAUGGAGAGUCGUAGAACCAUAAGAAAAUCAAAUUUGGUAAUGAAAAGAAAGUCACAGUGGGCCAGAUAGGUAGCUCACACCUGUAAUUCUAGUGCUUUGGGAGGCAGAGGCCAACAGAUCUCUUGAACCCAGGAGUUUUUUUGACCAGCCUGGGCAACAUGGUGAGACACCAUCUCUAUAAAAAAUUA
Molecule: long non-coding RNA, 4512 nt
Organism: Callithrix jacchus (white-tufted-ear marmoset)
Lineage: Eukaryota; Metazoa; Chordata; Mammalia; Primates; Cebidae
Source: RefSeq, a predicted model, not a curated record